This 463-nucleotide ribosomal RNA is filed under the name uncultured Desulfobulbus sp. Its description in RNAcentral is "bacterial SSU rRNA". It matches the Rfam family "Bacterial small subunit ribosomal RNA", at positions 925 to 1382 of the family's 1533-position model. The record is from RNAcentral. Lineage: Bacteria; Pseudomonadati; Thermodesulfobacteriota; Desulfobulbia; Desulfobulbales; Desulfobulbaceae.
ACAAGCGGUGGAGUAUGUGGUUUAAUUCGAUGCAACGCGAAGAACCUUACCUGGUCUUGACAUCCCGGAGACCCUUAGGAAACUAGGGGGUGCUUCCAUCUGGAAGAAUCUGGAGACAGGUGCUGCAUGGCUGUCGUCAGCUCGUGUCGUGAGAUGUUGGGUUAAGUCCCGCAACGAGCGCAACCCUUGCCUUUAGUUGCCAGCAGUUCGGCUGGGCACUCUAAAGGGACUGCCGGUGUUAAACCGGAGGAAGGUGGGGAUGGCGUCAAGUCCUCAUGGCCUUUAUGACCAGGGCUACACACGUACUACAAUGGCCGAUACAAAGGGCAGCGACACUGCGAGGUGAAGCCAAUCCCGUAAAAUCGGUCUCAGUCCGGAUUGGAGUCUGCAACUCGACUCCAUGAAGUUGGAAUCGCUAGUAAUCGUGGAUCAGCAUGCCACGGUGAAUACGUUCCCGGGCCUU